CCAGGGGCCUCGAGGGCUAGAAUACGGAAGCUCGAUAAACACACGAGUCAGCGGAAGCAACAAUAUCUGAGUACAGACAUAAAACAUGGGGUGCCUUAGAUAAGGCUAGCACAAAAGAUACAACGAUCGAACGAGGCGAGGCCACCUGCCUGGGAACCUCCUAACUACUCCUGAUCAUCAGCGGCCUCCAUGUAGUAGUAGGCACCGUCGGGGUAGCAGUCGUCGGCGGCGGGGACCUCCAUCUCCUGGGCUCCAUCAUCUGGUCGCAGCAAAUGGAUCAAGGGGACAAGGGGGAAGCAAAGCAGCGGUGAGUACUCAUCCAAAGUACUCGCAAGUCUUACAUCAGAACUAUUCUAAUUAUGCAUCAGUAUCAAAAAAGGGGGGUUAUAGGUGGACUGACUGCAGCAAUGCGAGAAUAGAGAGAGAAGGCCUAGUCCUAUCGAAGACUAGCAUCUUCAGGGUCUUGCAGCAAUAGACGAGAGUAGAACAAGGGUAACACAUUAAUAGUCAUAUUGUUGCAGCAAUAUUAAAGUGAGGUCACGCCUAAAGAUCCUCCCUCGACUCCCUGCAAGGAAGCAAUCCCGAGGCAAACUAAUUCCAGUUAAGUAACAAUUGUAGUUGUAAAAGAUCGGGGCACAACUCCAAGUCGUCCUGUAACCGUGGACACGGCUAUCCGAAUAGUUAAUUUUUCAUCCCUACAGGGGUGCACCACAUGUCCCGUCACGCUCGAUAACACUCUGGUCGGACAUACUUUUCUGGGUCCUGCCCGACCACGGAAUAUUGACACGUCGCAGCCCCACCUAAGACUAAUCAGAGAGGUCAGCCCACCGGUCUGAAUCCUAAGCACAAAGGGUUCGUGGGCCUAGUUCCCCUUCGCGCUCCUGCACGUGGCGUGGGCGGCCGACGUCACUCCUGAUGCAUCUCGGGACCACUCGGGCGCGCGCCGCUACAUUUGCUGACAUCUGAAAAGCUUCGGCUUAUACCGCGACGCCGAGUACCCAUAAUUCUUCCUGCGUAGCCGGUUAGUGCGAAAAGGUCUCCGACCAACCCAGAUCAAAUACCCAAAUCCAUUAACAUUUUAAUUAGGCCAUCAACAUAGUCUCACGGGAAUCCAUCCGUCUUACAACUAAUCACCAAAGAUCCCAGUAACAUGGUCGAGUAACUGUGUGGUAGCAACAUCGGGGGGAAUCCGAGGUAUCACCCUCGUUGGAUUCCGAACGAUGUAUCCGUCAAGGUGGCUUAGAGGAAUCACCCUCGGGGGUCCCACACUUGAGGGGUUGCACGACAGAGGCGUCAUCGGGAAUGGUGAAAGAGGAAUCACCCUCGAUAACCAUGACCGACUAGCUAUACUACAGAGAUAUCAUCAGGAGUACUUAGCGAGGUGUCACCCUCGGUACCCGAUAGUAUCUGUGUAGCGUCCUACAACGAAGGGGGUGUAUGUGCGGUGUCGGGUCUGGCUCGUCGAUCAGAGAUCGAGAUUUGAAAACAAGCGAGGCAACUGGACUACGAGGUCAAAGGGGAUGAAUGCUCCACCUAUACUAAGCAGAUUUAAAGUACAGGACUGAAAGUAGCAGUUCAUCAAAAAUAGGCUAUGCAUCAGAUAUAGGAGCUAACUACAACAGUAGCAAAAAUACUAAUGCAAGCAGUAGGAAGAAAGACAUAGGCGAUAUAGGAAUGAUCAAGGGGGUUUGCUUGCCUUGCUGCUCUGCGGCAAAGGACUGAUCGGCAGGGUCGUAGAUGUACCCGGCAGCAGCGUCUGUCUCGGGGUCUACCGGUAAGAAGAGGGGGAAGAAACAAUAAAUAAUAGCAACGGUGCAACACAAAGCAUGACAUGGCAAGAUGCAGGCUAGACAUGAGCUAACGCAGCAACAUCCGUCAUAGACGGGUCGGAAGAAUAUCUGACGAUAUUUUCCGGGUCUCGGGCUACUACCAGUCAUACUGGAAACGAUGGAAAAGUUCCAUGUUUGCUAUGCUAGGGACGCAUGACAGACGAACGGGCCGUGUAUCCGGGUUCGUCUCGUUCUGCUGAUCAACUUUCAUGUUGAAAAAUAUUUUGAUCUGACUUACCGAUUAUUUAACAUUAAUUUUUAAAGUUUUAUUCAAUAAUUAGGAAUUAAAAACAGUUUGAAUAAUUUAAUAAAAAGCUAUUAUGACAUCAGCAUGACGGCAUGGUGACAUCAACAUUUGACUGGUCAACUCACCAGCGGGUCCCGAACGUCAUAGGCACAAGUUUUAAUUAAGAUUAAAUAUUAAUUAAUCAGAUUAAUUUAGUGGGGGACCCACGUGUCAUACUCUAAUUAUUCUAACUAUCCAAUUAAUUAAUUUAACUAAUAUAUCUAUUUAUUUAUUUAAUAAAAACAUUAACAUUAUUUUUAUUUAUUUUUAAUUAUCGUGUGGGACCUCCCUGUCAUAGACAGCGGGUGCUUUGUCCCCACCGGUAAGUGGCUCUAGGCCAAAUACUCGAUUUUAUUCACAGAUACAUAAUCAUGCAAAUAUCGUAUUCAUCCAAAUAUCUAUAUACGCAAAUACAUACAUCGCAUCUCAUACAUACAUACAUACAUACGGCAUCUAAUACAUCUUUUAAUUUAUUUUCUUUUAACUCUCAACACUCCCAUCUCUCUCUCUGUUAACAGAGAGACACGGAACUCUCUGCUCUCACUCAACAUAGAAGAACACAUCUCCAAAUCUUCCUACCGGUCACUACCGUCGACGGGUCGGAGUCCCGUUUGCCGGAACGGAACCCGGACGGUGAGGGGAACGCGAUGGUGGGAGGAGCCCGAGGAGGGGCUCACCAACGUUGAUGAGACGGCCCGGUGAAGCCAGAGUUCUCGUGAGGCGGAGGUGACGGCGGUGAUGGCGCGGUGAUGACGGUAGUGCCGGUGACGGUCGUCGGAGAGGGCCUCCCGGAGUCGUGGCCGAAGAGGAGAGCCCUCCGGUGAAGAAGGGGCCGGCCGGAUCCGGCGAGGGUUGCCCCGGCCUCAAGGGGAGGGAGGCCGGCCGGUCAUGGUGGUCGCCGGAGUUGGUGGCCGGCCGGGUGGGGAGUGGAGGCCGGUUUGGGAGAGGUUGCAGGGGAGUGGUGGUUGCCGGAGUUGAAGGGAGGGGCGGCCGGUCGGAUGGGAGUUGGGGAGGGGCUCGGCCGGCGGUUGGAGGGGCCGAGGGGGCCUUGCAGCCGGCGGGAGGAGGAGGCUGGGAGGGAGAUACGGGAGAGAGAGGAGGUGAGGUGGGAGACGAGGUGGGGGGUCUGGUGCGUGGGGAGAGAACGAGAGGUGGGGAGGGUGCUGCCGAGAGAGAGAGGAGAGAUCGGUGGGAGGGGGCCCCCACGAGGGGUUGGUUGGGCGGUCGAGGGAAGGGAGCCCCUGGCGGCGGCGGCUGGGGGAAACAGGAGAGCGGGGGGAGAGCCACGGGAGUGUGCUAGAGUUUCAGGGGCGUGGGUGGGCCGGCUCGGCUCGGCCACUUUGGCCCAGUCGGCCAGGGGGGUGGGGGGGUUCCUCUUUUUCUUUUUCUUUUUUUGUUUUGUUUUGUUUUCCUUUUCUAUUAUUUCUUAUUUCUAAUUUCUUUUUUUUCUUUUUAAUUUCUUUUCUUUUCUUUUAUUUCUUUUAUCAUUAUUAUUUUUAAUACUUUCUUUCUUUAAUGGUUAAUAUGAAUUUAUAAAUAUACUUUUCUUUUGUUUUCAACUUCUGAAUCCGGAUAGAAAUUCAAUGCGGGUCGACGACGGUAAUUCUCGAUGAGUGGCAUCAUUAGCGGGUGAUCACUGUAGCUUAAUUACAAUAUUAGUGUAGCAAAAGUCGAGGAUGUCACAAUUAUCCCCUACUAACAAGAAUUCUCGUCCCAAGAAUUAAGAGGUAGAGGGAAAGAGCCCGGGGUAUUCAUCACGAACAUGAUCCUCGCGUUCCCAAGUGGCUUCAUAUUCAGAGUGAUUUGACCACUGCACCUUAAGGAACUUGGUGACCUUGCGACGAGUCUUACAUUCAGCUUGGUCGAGAAUGCGGACCGGAUGCUCUUUAUAAGAGAGGUCUUGUUGUAGCUCAAGCAUAUCAUGAUCCACUGCUCGAAUAGGGUCCUUGAAGCAUCGACGGAGCUGAGAAACAUGGAAGACAUCGUGAACCUGAGAAAGGUUCGCCGGCAGUUCCAAUUGAUAAGCCACUCUUCCACGCCUUUCGAGAACUGUGAAAGGACCAAUAUAACGAGGAGCUAACUUGCCCUUGAUUCCGAAACGGUGUGCACCUCUCAUUGGUGUGACACGAAGAUAAGCCUUUUCGCCAGGUUGAUAGACCAUAUCUUGAUGAUGACGGUCAUACUGACUCUUCUGACGAGACUGAGCAGCCUUCAGAUUCUCAUGAAUAAUGCGGAAUUGAUCUUCGGCAUGUUGAAUAAUAUCCGGACCAAAGAGUGAUCGUUCCCCAGUUACUGACCAAUUCAGAGGAGUUCAACACCUUCGCCCAUACAAUACUUCGAAAGGGGCUAUCUUCAGACUAGCUUGAUAGCUAUUGUUGUAAGAGAACUCGGCAUACGGGAGAGAUUCCUCCCAUUUCUUACCGAAAGAAAUGACACAAGCUCGAAGCAUGUCCUCGAGAAUUUGGUUGACUCGUUCAACUUGUCCCUGGGAUUGAGGAUGAAAUGCAGUGAUGAAGGACAGAUGAGUCCCCAUAGCCUUCUGAAAACUUUCCCAGAAUUUUGAAGUGAACAAGCUGCCACGGUCCGAACUGAUUACCAACGGAAUACCGUGAAGUGAAACAACUCUUGACAUAUAAAGAUCUGCCAGCUGACUAGCAUUAAUUGUUUCAUUGACGGCUAGGAAAUGUGCAACUUUGGACAGUCGAUCAAUGACGACAAGAAUAGCAUCAUUACCUUUCUGAGAUCUGGGAAAACCAGUGACAAAACAUGGUCCCAUUUCCANNNNNNNNNNNNNNNNNNNNNNNNNNNNNNNNNNNNNNNNNNNNNNNNNNNNNNNNNNNNNNNNNNNNNNNNNNNNNNNNNNNNNNNNNNNNNNNNNNNNNNNNNNNNNNNNNNNNNNNNNNNNNNNNNNNNNNNNNNNNNNNNNNNNNNNNNNNNNNNNNNNNNNNNNNNNNNNNNNNNNNNNNNNNNNNNNNNNNNNNNNNNNNNNNNNNNNNNNNNNNNNNNNNNNNNNNNNNNNNNNNNNNNNNNNNNNNNNNNNNNNNNNNNNNNNNNNNNNNNNNNNNNNNNNNNNNNNNNNNNNNNNNNNNNNNNNNNNNNNNNNNNNNNNNNNNNNNNNNNNNNNNNNNNNNNNNNNNNNNNNNNNNNNNNNNNNNNNNNNNNNNNNNNNNNNNNNNNNNNNNNNNNNNNNNNNNNNNNNNNNNNNNNNNNNNNNNNNNNNNNNNNNNNAUCCGAAUAGUUAAUUUUCAUCCCUGCAGGGGUGCACCACAUGUCCCGUCACGCUCGAUAACACUGUGGCCAGACAUACUUUUCUGGGGCCUGUCCGGCCUCGGAAUAUCGUCACGUCGCAGCCCCACCUAAGACUAAUGAGAUAGGUCAGCCCGCCGGUCUAAAUCCUAAGCACAAAGGGUUCGUGGGCCCAGUUCCCCUUCGCGCUCCUCCAUGUGGCGUGGGCGGCCGACGUCAGUCCUAGCAUCCCUUAAUCACAAGAGGGAUGCAUCUCGGGACCACUCGGGCGCGCGCCGCUACAUUUGCUGACAUCUAAAAAGCUUUGGCUGAUACCGCGACGCCGAGUACCCAUAAUUCCUCUUGCGUAGCCGGUUAGUGCGAAAAGGUCUCCGACCAACCCAGAUCAAAUACCCAAAUCCAUUAACAUUUUAAUUAGGACAUCAACACAGUCUCACGGGAAUCCACCCGUCUUACAACUAAUCACCAAAGAUCCCAGUAACAUGGUCGAGUAACUGUGUGGUAGUAACAUCGGGGGGAAUCCGAGGUAUCACCCUCGUUGGAUUCCGAAUGAUGUAUCCGUCAAGGUGGGCUUAGAGGAAUCACCCUCGGGGGUCCCACACUUGAGGGGUUGCACGACAGAGGCGUCAUCGGGAAUGGUGAAAGAGGAAUCACCCUCGAUAACCACGACCGACUAGCUAUACUACAGAGAUAUCAUCAGGAGUACUUAGUGAGGUGUCACCCUCGGUACCCGAUAGUAUCUCUGUAGCGUCGUACAACGAAGGGGGUGUAUGUGCGGUGUCGGGUCUGGCUCGUCGAUCAGAGAUCGAGAUUUGAAAACAAGCGGGGCAACUGUACUACGGGGUCGGAGGGGAUGACUGCUCCACCUAUACUAAGCAGAUUUAAAGUACAGGACUGAAAGUAGCAGUUCAUCAAAAAUAGGCUAUACAUCAGAUAUAUGAGCUCACUACAACAGUAGCAAAAAUACUAAUGCAAGCAGUAGGAAGAAAGACAUAGGCGAUAUAGGAAUGAUCAAGGGGGUUUGCUUGCCUUGCUCCUCUGCGGCAAAGGACUGAUCGGCAGGGUCGUAGAUGUACCCGGCAGCAGCGUCAGCCUCGGGGUCUACCGAUAAGAAGAGGGGGAAGAAACAAUAAAUAAUAGCAAUGGUGCAACACAAAGCAUGACAUGGCGAGAUGCAGGCUAGACAUGAGCUAAUGCAGCAACAUCCGUCAUAGACGGGUCGGAAGAAUAUCUGACGAUAUUUUCCGGGUCUCGGGCUACUACCGGUCAUACUCGAAACGAUGGAAAAGUUCCAUGUUUGCUAUGCUAGGGACGCUCGACACACGAACGGGCCGUGUAUCCGGGUUCGUCUCGUUCUGCUGAUCAACUUUCAUGUUGAAAAAUAUUUUGAUCUGACUUACGGAUUAUUUAAUAUUAAAUUUUUAAGUUUUAUUCAAUAAUUAGGAAUUAAAAACAGAUUUGAAUAAUUUAAUAAAAAGUUAUUAUGACAUGAGCAUGAUGGCAUGCUGACAUCAACAUUUGACUAGUCAACUGACCAGCGGGUCCCGAAUGUCAUAGGCACAAGUUUUAAUUAAGAUUAAAUAUUAAUUAAUCAGAUUAAUUUAAUGGGGGACCCACGUGUCAUACUCUAAUUAUUCUAAUUAUCCAAUUAAUUAAUUUAACUAAUAUAUCUAUUUAUUUAUUUAAUAAAAACAUUAACAUUAUUUUUAUUUAUUUUUAAUUAUCGCGUGGGGCCUCUCUGUCAUAGACAGCGGGUGCGUUGGCCCCAUCGGUAAGUGGCUCUAGGCCAAAUACUCGAUUUUAUUCAUAGAUACAUAAUCAUGCAAAUAUCGUAUUCAUCCAAAUAUCUAUAUACGCAAAUACAUACAUCGCAUCUCAUACAUAUCUACAUACAUACAUAAGGCAUCUAAUACAUCUUUUAAUUUAUUUUCUUUUAACUCUCAACACUCCCAUCUCUCUCUGUGUUAACAAAGAGACAAAGAACUCUCUGCUCUAACUCAACAUAGAAGAACACAUCUCCAAAUCUUCCUACAGGUCACUACCGUCGACGGAUCGGAGUUCCGUUUGCCAGAACGGAACCGGGACGGUGAGGGGAACGCGAUGGUGGGAGGAGCCCGAGGAGGGGCUCACCAACGUUGAUGAGACGACCCGGUGAAGCCGGAGUUCUCAUGAGGCGGAGGUGACGGCGGUGAUGGCGCGGUGACGACGGCGGUGUCGGUGACGGUCGUCGGAGAGGGCCACCCGGAGUCGUGGCCGGAGAGGAGAGACCUCCGGUGAAGAAGGGGUCGGCCGGAUCUGGCGAGGGUUGCCCCGGCCUCAAGGGGAGGGAGGCCAGCCGGUCAUGGAGGUCGCCGGAGUUGGUGGCCGGCCGGGUGGGGAGUGGAGGCCGGUGGGGGAGAGGUUGCAGGGGAGCGGUGGUCGCCGGAGUUGACGGGGGGCGGCUGGUCGGGUGGGAGGCAGGGGAAGGGCUCGGCCGGCGGUUGAAGGGGACGAGGGGGCCUUGCUGCUGGCGGGAGGAGGAGGCCGAGAGGGAGAUACGGGAGAGAGAGGAGGUGAGGUGGGAGACAAGGUGGGGGGGUCUGGUGCGUGGGGAGAGAACGAGAGGUGGGGAGGGUGCUGCCGAGAGAGAGAGGAGAGAUCGGUGGGAGGGGGCCCACGAGGGGUUGGUGGGGCGGUCGAGGGAAGGGAGCCCCUGGCGGCGGCGGCUGGGGGAAACGGGAGAGCGGGGGGAGAGCCAGGGGAGCGCGCUAGGGUUUCAGGGCGUGGGUGGGCCGGCUCGGCUGGGCCACUUUGGCCCAGUCGGCCAUGGGGGUGGGGGGGUUUCCUCUUUUUCUUUUUUUUUGUUUUGUUUUGUUUUGUUUUCCUUUUCUAUUAUUUCUUCUUUCUAAUUUCUUUUUUUUUCUUGUUAAUUUCUUUUCUUUUCUUUUCUUUCUUUUAUCAUUAUUAUUUUUAAUACUUUCUUUCUUUAAUAGUUAAUAUGAAUUUAUAAAUAAACUUUUCUUUUGUUUUCAACUUCUGAAUCCGGAUAGAAAUUCAAUGCGGGUCGACGACGGUAAUUCUCGAUGAGGUGGCAUCAUUAGCGGGUGAUCACUGUAGCUUAAUUACAAUAUUCACUGUAGCAAAAGUCGAGGAUGUCACAAACACUUACAUAGAAAGAGAAUAAAACCACCUUAUGAAUCUAUCAUGAGGGCCACUUAUGUAUUCAAUGUCAAGGAUGACAACACGUGGAACUAUGCAAUACACCUAGCUAGGGGAGUAAAAUAAUAACGCUUGUUGGGAGGCAACAUGAUAGUUAUCUUAAUUUUUGCUUUAUACUUUAUGUUUGUUUACGAUGAAAUAAUUGUUUCUCGUGUAAUGAUUGUGUUUUAUGUUUUAAUUAGUGUUUGUGCCAAGUAAAGUCGUUGAAAUGAUUUGCAUGAUGAGUAUAAUAGAUACGGUGCCAAAACAGAAACUUUGACACCAAUUCAGAAUUUAUAUGAUUUUACCGAAAUAUCUUUUUAAUAUGAAUUCUUUACAUAGUACUGAUAUACAAAUUCCUCAGCUAUUACUAAUUUAUCAGAACUUUUAAAGUUGCAUAAUUAUGGCAAUUUAAUAUAUUACUAUAGACUGUUCUGUUUUAAAUAGAUUCUAUUUUUGCAUGCACAGUUUGCUUGUUUUGAUUAUGUUAUGGAUUAUAUCGGGGGCAUAAGCCAUGUAUAAGUUAAAACAGUAUCUUAUGCUAAAAUAAAAUAAGAAUCAAUUUAUACAAUACCUACAAGUGUUUAUUAUGUUGCCUAUAGUAAUGACUCAAAUGAAGUUUUGUUGAGUGUUGUUGGGUUGAAGUUUUCAAGUUUUGGGUAUUAUCUCGAUGGACAAAGUAAUGAGAAGUAGAAAGAGCCUAAGCUUGGUAAUUCCCAAGGAACCACAAGGUAAUAUUCUUGGAAUACUCAAGUGUCUAAGAUUGGGGAUUCCCCGGGAAGGCAUCCCCUCUUUCGUUUCAAUCCAUCAGUAUGUUACUUGGAGCUACAUUUUUACUCAUCACAUGAUAUGUGUUUUGCUUGGGGCAUCAUUCGCUUUCGUUUACUUUUACUUGCAGUUUGCCACAAUAAUUUUUUGCAGGACACACCUAUUAACGAGAGAUACACAAUAAUAAUAAUUUGUUAGAAGACUCUAUGUGCUUCACUUAUAUCUUUUGAGCUUAGCAGUUGCUCUAGUACUUCAUUUAUAUCUUUUUGAGCACGCUGGCAUGUAGAUUUAAUAGAAAUAAUAUGCUCUCAUUCCUCACUUAUAUUUGUUUGAGAAUUAAUAAAUAGUGACGGUAAUUUGCAUGGGUCGUAAUACUAGAUCAAAUAAUGGGUGUUCAAUGAGUGAUAAUAAAACCAUCAUAUAGCACAUAUAGAGAAAUUUUGGUUAAUGAUAUUGAUGUGGUGAUAUGAAAGGGUGUGAGUGCAAAAUCAUUAAUUCAGAGAGGUGUCGAUAUUAAGAGAUGUCAAAACUUCUUGAACAUCAAAAAAAUUAAAAGGGCAUGGUGAUGAUGUGUGAGCAUUUAUAUUCCUCGUUGAAAACCUAGUGUUGUUUCGAGUUGGAGUCGCGCGAUGGUUAAUUCCUACCAACCCUCUCCCUCGGGGCAUGCGAGUAGUACUUUGAUUUGUGAUUAGGCUUAUAAAACUUUGCAAUAACCUAGUGUUCUUUAUGACUAAUGUGACACCAUGGACAUACAUAGUCUUACCUCCUCAUAUUUGCUAGCCUCUCCAGUACCGUGCAUAGCCCAUUCUCACCUCUAGGAUUGGUGCAACUUUUUCCGGUGCAUCCAAACCCCAUGACAUCAUACACUUUCUUACAUAUAAGACUUAUUAUAUCCUCCUCAAAACAGCCACCAUACCUACCUAUUAUGGCAUUUCCAUAGCCAUUUCGAGAUAUAUUGCCAUGCUAAUUCCAUCGUCACUUCACAUGACUAGUUCAUUCAUCAUCAUAUUGCUUUGCACGAUCAUAUAAAGCUGACAUAGUAUUCGUGGCAAAUCAAAUGUUCAUAAUAGCAUUUGUGGCAAAGCCACCAAUUAUCAUAUGUUGAAUACAUAUCAUGCUAGAUCAUUGCACAUCCUCGUACACUGCGAGAGGCGUUCAUAUUUGAGUCAUGUUGCUUCAUUGUUCAUCAAAUCCAAUGAUCGUCAUUAUUGGAGCAUUCUCCCAGUGAGGAAAUAAAGAUGGGGGAGGACAAAUUAACCCACCAUAGAAAAAUGAGAGAAAAAGAGAGAAGGGAAUUUGCUACAAUCCUUUACCGCACUUGCGCCUCAAAGUGGCACCAUGCUCAUCAUGUAGAUAGUCCCAUGUUAUAUCAUUCAUAUGCUAGUGGUAAUCAAAAUUUUAUAAACUUGGCUUGUAUAUUUUGAUGACAGGCUUCCUCAAACACAAAAGGUCUUCAUGAGCAAGCAAGUUGGAUGCACACCCACCUAGCUUCAGCGGAGCUUUCAUACACUUAUAGCUCUAGUGCAUCAUUUGCAUGGCAAUCCCUACUCAUUGUGUCAAUAUCUAUCGAUGGGCAUCUCCAUAGGCCCUUUGUACGCCUAGUUGAUACGAGACUAUCUUCUCCACUUUUGAACCCCUUUGAAACCCACCACCUUAUUCUAUUCCACCUAUAUGUUGUGUCCAAUGGUUCACACUCAUGUAUUGCGUGAAGAAUAAAAAGUUGAGGCAUUGGAAAGGUACGAUCCAAUUGCCUCACUUGAGCACUGUGGUGCUUGCCAUUUGUAGUUAUGUGGUGAAGAUGGAGCCAUGUCUUGCUAAUAUAAUAAAGAUGGCUAGGGGUGAAACUAUCUUUGAGGAUCGUACACUUUGAAAAAUUAAUUGUUUUGCUGCCUAUACUUAUAAAUAUUGAUGUGUUAAUAUUUGUUAAUUCAUCAUUUCUCAAUGAGCACACAUGCAUAAGAUUGCAUCAUGGGUAGCAUCUCACAUCAAAAAAAAAUAUUUUUAUUAUUUACCUACUCGAGGACGAGCAGGAAUUAAGCUUGGGGAUGCUUGAUACAUCUCCAAUGAUCUAUAAUUUUUGUCUGUUCCAUGCUAUUAUGUUAUCAUUUCAGAACACUUUUUAUGUACCUAUCUGCCAAUUUAUAUUAUUUUUGAGCACUAACCUAUUGACCAGUGCCAGUGUGAGUUGCUGUUUUGUGCGUGUUUUUCCACUUUUCCGGUUUUCAGUACCAACGAAGUCCAUUUGACUUGAAACUUUUUGUGAAUUUUUUCUGGACCAAAUAAGACCGUUUAGCAUCGGAAGAAGGCACGAGGGUGCACGAGGGCCCCACAAGCCAACAGGGCGCGCCAGGGGGCGCGCUGAUGGCUUGUGGCCCCCUCGUGGCUCUUCCGACUCAGUUAUCUGGCCUAUAAAUUCCCAUCUGCCCUAAAACAUCGAGGGAGGUCCCGAAACAAUUUUUACGUCGCUGCAAGUCUCUAUUCUGAUGGGAUGCCAUCUAGAGCUCUGUUCCGAGACUGCGUCGAAGGGGGGUCGAUCACGGAGGGCUUCUUCAUCAACCUUGCUGCCCUCAUGAUGAUGUGUGAGUAGUUCACCACAGACCUACGAGUCCAUAACGAGUACCUAGAUGGCAAUUUCUCUCUUUUUGAUCUUCAAUACAAUGAUGAUCGCAUCUUUGCUUUGAUCCAUAUGAUCUAACUCUUUUGUACGGUGCGUUUGUUGGGAUCCAAUGAAUUGCGUGUUUAUGUUCAGAUUAUUCAUGAUAAAUAUUUGAGUCUCCUCUGAUAUAUAAUAUGAUUCUUAUGUGCUUGACUAUGAUAGAUUCAUAAUUCUCUCCGAUCUAUUGAAAUAGUUUGGCCAACUAGAUUGAUAUUUCUUCGGUGAGAGAGGUGCAUUGUAGUACAUCCAACCUGGCGAGUUUCUACCCAGUGACAGAAGGGGACAAGUUGCAUCUUUGUAUUGCUGCUGCUAAGGGUAAAACAAUGGGGUUUAUUCAUAUUGGUUGAGUUUACUUUGUCUACAUCAUAUCAUCUUUCUCAAAGCAUUACUUGAUUUGUCAUGAACUUAAUACAUAGAGGGGCAAGCAUAGAAGCGUUCUUGAAGUAAAGUAAUAGUAAUAGGUGCAAGCAGGAGUCGGCCUAUUUGUUUAUGGAAAUGAUGCCUAUAUUUACAUGAUCAUUGCCGUGAAAAUCGCAUAUCUAUCCGCUCUUCUAUCAAUUGCCGAGCAGAAAUUUGUUUACCCGUCAUGUGCUAUUUUUAUGAGAGAUACCAUUAGGGAAAACUAUGGCCCCCGGGUCUAUUCACAGCAUAGUGCUAAAACCUCCAUUACCUUGCUGCCAUUUAUUUGCUCCUAUUUUAUUUUACAUUUUACAAUUGUCUACAAUUAUCUACACAUCUCAUUUACUUGCAAAUAACGAGACCAAGGGGAUUGACAACCCUCUUGCUCGCGUUGGGUGCAAGCUGUUUGUUCUUUUGUGUGCAACCACUCAAGACGGUUGUGUUUGAUGUUCCUAUUGGUUCGAUAAACCUUGGUUUCAUAACUGAGGGAAAUACUUACCCGCAUUGUGCUAUGAUAACCCAUUCCUCUUCAUGGAAAACCCAACGCAGAUCACAAGUAUCAAGGCCCCAUGGCUCGAUAGCCAUUGGAGAUGGACAUAUACGUUGUCCUCUCAAUCUCCGAGAGGCCAAGGCAUGCCAAACAAGCUAUUGUACUGAGAUAAGGACUCGUCCAUGGCCAGUCGAUAUCGCCAUCGAGGUUAGUUAUACGAACUUAGAUAUCUUUCCUCCAUUGCAUUGUGUGUGUGCGACCAUUGAUGAUUACAAUUCUAAUGAAGAGUGGUGUUGUAGGCUGCUCUUGAGAAAGAGAGAGCGAGAACCCAGGUGCUUGUGGAAGAGAGGGACCGGGUGACGGCGGAGAAGGAAUUGGCCGUAGAGGAGAAGACGACUCGGUUGUUUAGGGAGAAGAGGACACGAAAUGAGACGGCUCACUGGUCCAUGUACGAGCUCCUCGUGGUAAGUUUCUUCGGCACAUGAGCCAAAUCAUGCACGUAAAUGUUCGUUUCAUUACUAACUAAUAUGACUCACUCAUCAAAACCAAAUGUGCAGUCUGUGUGUGACAAGACCGGUCACACCCCUCCGCUGAUGCUAGUCAUUAUUGCGGCGGGAACGGUGAGUUUCAUUUGAAUGGUCAUUAGUUACUAGUCUUAACAUUUGAGUGUCAUCAUGCUAACGAGACACUGCUAAUGAUCUUUGGUGCAACAUAAAUCUCGAGCCGCACCGCACACCCCUUCUUCAGGUGAAUCCGGUCCGAGGAACCCCGGUCCUUCACCCCCGUGAUGAUGAGGACGGUACGUUUUCUCUAAUGCUUUGCUUAAAAAAUGCAUACUUAGCUUCGUACAUGCUAGUUAGCCCUAUCAUGCCACAUACUUAGCUUAUUUUGCCCCAAAUGACAUACUCAGCUAAUUAUCCUUCAAAAUGACAUAAUUAUAUUAUCUAGUUCAUUUAUGACAUAACUAGCUUAGUUAGAUCAAAAAUGGCAUACUAACCUUGGUUAUCUCAUAAGUAUCAUAUACUUAGCUUAUUUUCCUCUAAAAUAACAUAAUAAGCUUAGUUAGCUCUAAAAUGGCAUAAUCAUCUAAGUUAGCUCUAAAAUGAUACAAAUAAAGAAGAAAAAGAAGAAAAAGAAGGAAGAGGAGAAAAAGACAGAAUAGAAGAAGAAAGAGAAGAAAAAGAAAGAAUAAAAGAAGAAGAAUAAGAAGGAAAAGGAUAAAAAUAGAAGACAUAACAAGAAGAAAAUAUAUUCUUAUUCUUCCUUUUUAUCUUAUUUCUUUUUCUCCAUCUUCUACUCCUUCUUCUUAUUCUUAUGCUUAUUCUUCUUCUUUCUUCUUCUUCUUUCUUUCUUCUUCUUAUUUUUCUUCUCUUUCUUCUUCUUCUUCUUCUUCUUCUCCUUCUUCUCCUUCUUCUUCUUCUUCUUCUUCUUCUUAUUAUUAUUAUUAUUAUUAUUAUUAUUAUUAUUAUAGUCUUCUUUUUCUUCUUCUUCUAACUUUCUUACUCCCAUUUUUGCAGAUUUGAUUCUCUUCAUCGAAGCUGGCAUUGAUGGAAUGGUAGUGUUUAAUUUUUGUUUUGAUUUGUAUUGAUGAACAAUGUGGAACUAUGCAUGUACAUAUGGAUGAAGAGUGUGAAACUAUGUAUAUAUUAGUUCUUUUAAUAGCAUAUGUGAUGUCUUGUUCAAUAUUUCACGAUGAUGUUAGAUACCUGUCCUAUGCUUCUUUGAAACUAUAUAUAUCAUAUAUGUGUUGUGAAAAUACAGGGAAAAAAUGAAAACAGACAAAAAAGUGGCAAUACAAGCACUUUGCUGUCUGCCAGCGGACGGCAAAGCCCUUUGUCGUCGGUCGGCAGACGACAAAGGUGCCAUGUGGCGGCAACCUGUGCAACGUGGGAGCACCAGGUCUAACCCAUUUGGCCAUCUUGCCAUCAGCUGGCAAACGGCAGACGACAAAGACAUAUCUGGCAGAUGGCAAAAAUGGAGGAGUGACGUGCAGCCACAUGACUGCUGACAUCAAAGGGCAGGCGACAAAGACAAGUGCUCGUUGUCGUCAGCACGCACGCAGAAAAGUCUGUCGUUAGACACCUAACGAGGCUAACAGCUAUACUUUGUCGUCCAUCACCUUUGCCGUCAUCUUGGAUAGGGAGACCGACUGGAAACGUCUUUGUCGUCCGCUGUGGUUUUCCAGACGACAGAGUAGCUAAUUACCGCGAUUUAGAGUGCUACAAGUUGGGCCGUCAGCCAGCAGACGACAAAGGUAUUUGCCAUCUUUGACCUUGUACUUUGCCAUCCGCUAUGGCACACGACAAAGAAACUAAUUCUUGUAGUAUUUCUACACUCCUCUCGGCAAACCAUGUAUAAUAACGUGCCUAUCGAGAACGUCAUAUUUGGCACCCAUGACACUUUGCACGUAGAUGAAUAUUCAACGUUGUUUCUCACAAAAUAAUUCAUUUUUAUAUUUAUUUUCUGAUAAUUAUUUUCUCAUUUUAUAAUGCAUCAACAUAGGGGAGUAAAAAAAUCCAUGCCCGUUGUAACCAACUUUCAACUAAGAUGUGCAUGUGACCCUAAAAAUAGAUGUUUAUGUACUUUUGCCAUCUUUGUUGUAUUGUAAUGUAUAACUAAAAUGUAUGCACCGCACAUCGUAACAACAGAGGGAUCAUCUCUUCAGUUUACUCAUCAACGGUUCAUGUGUCGUCGUAUGCAUUUUCACAUUCCGACUCCAACUUUCAGUACCAACAAUGACUAAGUAACUUGCACAUUACAUGUAACAUAUGUUGCAUAUUGAUACGCUUUAUCUCUACUCUUAAAGGGGCAGUUGGUAGCCGGCGUUCAUCGGUUUUCUUUCGUUCAUCGUCCCACCACUGCUUGGUUUUUUUCGUCUCCCACCUCCCACAUUCGUUGGUAGCUUUCGUUCUCGGUUUAUUUUCGUCAUCCCUCCCACAUUUAGUUUUCUUUCGUACAGUUCUUUUUCUCACUCCGCCACCCUCUCACGUACUCAGCGAUUUUAUUUCAGGUACGUCCACCUCCCACUGAUUGUUUUCUCUCCGCAUCCCUUACUCUCGAUCUCAUCUCUCCUCGAGCAGAGCAGCGAAGCCUAGAUGGUCGCCGCUACCGGCGGUGCCUCCAUUGCCUCCCCCUUGCCUCCAUCUCCAGCCUAUCGCGCCACUAAAACCCUAACCUACAUGCCCCAGGCUGCCCCUCGCACCAGCGCCGCGCCUCCUUGUGCGUGCACGGUGCCUUCCAUGACCACCAACGAUAGCAAGCACCGGCAGAGCCCGCACGGCCGCACCUCCACUGUCCAUCGCGCCCUCGGGUUUGCCCUAGACAUGGAUAUCUUUUCCCUUAUAGGCGGCCACAGAUCUCCUGCUCCAGUUCCAGAUCCAUGGCAGCAGAGGCAACUCAAAGAAAAACGUAGGGGGCGGUUCCGUUUGCUGGCAGUUCAUCAUUGGGUCUACUUCUUCGUCUGUUCCCAUCAACAUCUCACGCGGCAUGUGCACAGAAAUGUGAUGUCAUGGAGGAGGCAAGGGUAGAUAGGAGUAAGAACACUGAGGGCCCUCCUCUCAGUGGUAGUGACGAGCGUAGGAGUGGAAGCGCAUCAUCUCAACAAGUAGGAUGUCAGGUAUGUUUGCUUGAGUGUGCUUUUUCUUUAAUCUUUUGGUGAUUAUCCAUCCUCUGGUGCAUCACUUUAGUUUCUUGAACACCAUGACAUAGGUCGUGAAGGUGCCCUAGAUAGAGAGAUGGAAGAGAGGACGUGCAUAUGAACAUUGCGACACCUAUGAUUGAGACGCUUGGUAAGCCUGCUAAUGAGCUACAUACUGCUAGGAGACGUAAUGUCCAAAUUGUCAUGGAUUGUAGACUAUGGGUGUUGUGUUGCUAUUGAAAAUAUUAUGAUUCACUUCAAAAAGGUUUCAGGUUUGUUCUUGAAUUCCCUUCAGGAUGUUCAUGAUGUGCUCUUUAUAAUCGGGUUUAAAAUUCUGGAGUGUGUACUAUCAGUUAGUUCUGCCUGAUUAUUUCUGACUCAUUUCUGACGCAAUUGGAAUCCAUUGGGUUUAAGAUAAUCAAUGUCACCGUGUGUGUGCGACUAGCUAAAUUCAGUUAUGUCGUUUCAUCAAAAGACUUAUGUUUCUUAUGUGUGUGCGACCGUAGUUGCCAUCAUCAUUACCUUGCGUGUAAACGGACAAUGUAUUACCUGAGUCGGGUUUCGGCUCAAAUUGCAUUGUGAAUAGAAUUGCAUAUGUUAACUACUUGUUGCCUACUCUGUUCCUAUAUGGUGCAACAAUUGUUUUCUUUUUUAUCAGAUGAAUAAGUCCUCUGAUAGUUUGGGAUAAAUUGAGAGAAUCCGAUGUAUAUUAUUCCUAUGUGAUGACGUGUUGUCAAUCAGAUUCCGACUUCCAGCACCAAAACAAAGUUAUCUAUGGGGUUCUCUCAGGAGAGCUUCCCUAUCCACUUUCUUCCAUGUGUGUUCCCAAGUUCCCAUUCAUUCUUUGGUUUGGGCGGUGUACAGUUUGAUGUAUGCCCCUAUGAUUUUUUGUAUGAACUCCAGAAUGGGGAAUUGAUCUUUGGGGAUGGAUUUACUUUCAUGGUAGAUGAUUCGAGGAUGCAUUUUUCUUAUCCACACUUUUCUCUGAUGACAUGGAAGGUUGAGCUUAGGCUCUUUAUUGUGGGUAGCUUGACGUUGUUGAGGUACCUAACUCUAGAUGUGAGUACUAUUUUUCCUGUGCGGUUGCUUGAUGAAUUGUAUAGAUAUAUUUUUUUCUGGCCGCUGUUCCAAAUUAUGGCAUUUGAUAUUUAUGCAACUUCAAGCUUUGUUUUAUUGUGCUUGAUGAUAGUAGGUCUUUGUACAACUUCAAGGUUUAUUUUCUUGUGUUCGAUGAUAGUAGGGCUGAGUAAAUUAUUGUGACACCCUGAUGUGCAUAUCCUUGUCUUUUCAGGUUUCCUUGGUUGCUAACACCUAAGUUUCCAUACCAUAUAUAUCAGUGGGUGCCCAAUCCAUCAACUACACUAGCCUGAUGAACAUUUAUCCCGAAGAGUUGGAAGUAGCGCAAUGAUGACUGUAAGAUAAUGCUGAUGAUCUGGUUGGUGGAUGUUUCGUGGUUGCUUCAAUGGCGAGGAUCAGAUAGUUCUCUUCAAAGAUGAUAUCGCCGACACAACACCUGCAGCUUGCAGAUCCCACAUCACGAACCAGAUGCUAACGACGAACCGGACAACCUAUUGCAAGUUGAACAUCUAAAGAAGGUUCUUGUCGUCCUCCAUAUUAGGUAACAAUUUCUUCUAUUUACUAUAGUUGAGUUGUUUGUGUUAAUUUUCAAGCGAAGAUUAUUACAAAGUUAUGUCGCAUGUGUGCUCGUAAUUUCAUCUUUCUAACUAAAUGAUGAAUCUAAUAAAUUUUUCAUUGUUAGAAUGUUGCACCUGAAGUUCUGGCAGUUAUUUUUUCAUUUGCAGUUUGCAACUAAUCUUUUGGACUUCUAAGUUGUACUUUUGUAACUUUUAGCAGUAAACACUUAUGUUCAUAUUUUUUUUCUUCAAUGAGUUCUUUUGUAUUCUUGUCAUCUUUUACAUAAAACUAUUGUGGUUUAUUUCAGUUCAGUGUGUGGUAAUCGGCAACAGUCAAGUUAACAAAUCUGAAGCAUUUUAGCAAGGAAACGGUGCAAGUGCACUUUUGGUGGAAGAUGAAGCUUUUGUUGGGCUUUUGAUGUUUUUUCUGAAGAAUACCUGUCGUGGGUAUAAGUCUAACAGUAGAUGUGUAGGGUACGAAAGGAUGGGCAGAGCCUUAGCUACGGCGAGGUUGUAUGAGUUCAGGCCCCUCUACGGUGGAGGUAAAAGCCCUACGUCUCAGUGCUCUUGGGAGCUUAGUGUCGAGUGGAAUAUGGGAUUACAGUAAAAGCCAACCCCUNNNNNNNNNNNNNNNNNNNNNNNNNNNNNNNNNNNNNNNNNNNNNNNNNNNNNNNNNNNNNNNNNNNNNNNNNNNNNNNNNNNNNNNNNNNNNNNNNNNNNNNNNNNNNNNNNNNNNNNNNNNNNNNNNNNNNNNNNNNNNNNNNNNNNNNNNNNNNNNNNNNNNNNNNNNNNNNNNNNNNNNNNNNNNNNNNNNNNNNNNNNNNNNNNNNNNNNNNNNNNNNNNNNNNNNNNNNNNNNNNNNNNNNNNNNNNNNNNNNNNNNNNNNNNNNNNNNNNNNNNNNNNNNNNNNNNNNNNNNNNNNNNNNNNNNNNNNNNNNNNNNNNNNNNNNNNNNNNCAGUAAAAGCCAACCCCUACACCAGUGGGGAAGAGCGGCUUAUAUAGAGUGCGCUGCCUUCCACAACGUCCCGGUGGACAGGGGUGGAAUAGUGGCGAAUAAAUGCCUACGUUACAGGUAACGUAUGCCUUAAAUGCUAAUAAUGGUGUAUGAAAACGUGUGACUGUUGCCCUCCUGGGAGGUUACGAUGUACAGAGUGGAAUUCAGUCGGUACAAUAAAUAUGCUCCAAAUGCUCAUCACCGACUGGAUGAUGGGGGUCCUUAGUUCAGUCGGAACUGUCUAAGGGCCUUGCCCUCUAUGAAGGGUAGUCCUUAGGUAGGACCUAUAGGGCAGGCCUAUGACCCUACCCUGGGACUAUAACCCCAUCAUUAGUCCCCGAAUGGGUUGGGGUUGGAAUGACGAAGUGAUGCCUGGAGUACGGAUCCGACUGGUAUGGAUGUGACUUUGGCGUUGUUUGCCUCGAUCCAUUUUAUCCUUUCGACCAGUGAUCCGAGUGAAUAUACCAGUGAAACGAACCGUCACGGACCGAGUGCUUCCACGGAAUCUUUCGAUGUGACCGGUCAAACUGACAGCGGCAGAUUUUCUGGGAUCCUCAAAUUUCGGUUGUCGCGCGCUCAGGGGGGAUGUCGACAUCGCCAUCGAGUAGUUUCUGCCGCCUCGAUUACCGCGUUGUUAUCUUCUCCACUAACAUCGCAGCAGCCGGUCGGGGGAUAAGAUUUCGGGGCCACCUAUUAUUGACCCAGUCAGAACCUUAUUUAAGCCUCUCUGGCGGGGGUUUCCUGUUGCGCUGCCCUUGUUACUCGCACUCGCCUUGCUUCUCCCGUAGCUCCCUGCGCGUUCCAAGCCUCCUCCUUCCUCUCCUCCUCUGUGGAUCUGCUGCCUUCACCAUGACGAAGGAGCAGACGAGCAAGCUCAAGUCGCAGAAGAAGAAGAAGGCGGCGGCCCCUGCUCAGCGGCGAUAGCGAGCACUACUGGCGGGUUGGAUCCAGGGGGAUUUCCUCCCCUCCACGGUGACGGCGGACGACCUGCAGGAGCUGGUGGAGCAAGGCAUGAUUGCCAACAAGUCGUGGAGGCUGCCAGCGGAGGGCGAGACGGAGCCGGCACCGCAGGAGGGAGAGCGCGUCUUGCUGCUCAGCCACGUGUACAGGGGCUUCUCCUUGCCUCCCCACCCCUUCUUUAGAGGUAUUAUGAAUCACUUCGGGGCGCAACUCCAUCAUUUUCCUCCCAACGCGAUAGCCCAUCUCGCCGCAUUCGUCACUCUGUGCGAGUGCUUUAUUGGAUGCCCCCCAUUGGGGGCUCUUUAAGUACAUCUUCUCCGCUAGGUCUCACACUGUCAAAAAGCUUAGCCAGUCGGACGAUAAAACCCAUCUCCUCCAGCUCUGCGGGGGCUUAGGCUUCCAAAAGAAAACAAAGAGUAGCUACCCCCCUCUCCAGCUGUCCGAGUCAGUUAGGAACUGGUAGUCGACCUGGUUCUACUGCCAGGACAUAGCUUGUCCGAAUGCCGCGACUGGGUUGCCGCCCUUUAGACUAGACCGUCCGGCCCCUCCCAGGCAGCUUGCGCUCUCAAAGUUGGAAAAGAUCCAGAUCCAAUCUCUGGUCGACGCGCUGAUAGCUGUCGUCCGCAAGGGAGUCACCGGCACAGAUUUGCUGGAGACAUUUCUGGGUCGGCGCAUCCAGCCGCUGCAAGCCCGACACCACGCCAUGUGGCACUAUGUGGGGCCCGAGGAUUCCACUCGGACUCAUCCAGAGUGCGUGACCGGGGAGACCGUGACAGCGUGGGUCCGCGGCAUUACAGGCGCAUGCGACAACCCCCAAGGAGCCUGACGAGUGAGGCCCUUCCGCGCCGACAAUCCUCCUCCGAAUGAGGUGAGUGCAUCUUGUCGAGUGCCUUCAAUCUUCUUAGAUCUAUCGCUUUUCUUGUAUCACCGCCUGACGUUCGACGUUGCCGACUGUGUUUUGUGCAGGAGUGGACCAACUGGCAUUCUCCCGUCUCGAACGGGAAUCCCACUUGAGGAAGAGGAGGGCAGCCAGGAGGGUAGCGUGGAUAGCGCCGAGUACGUCUCCGACAGUGGGGAGACGGAGGAGGAGUCUAAAGAGGAGGAGGGGGUUGGGGAGCAGAGCUCGCCACCUCCACCAUCAGAGCCUCGAACUAAGCGUCGUCACGAACCCGCGGCUCCGCCGGCUCCUCCAGCAGCUCCGAGUGCUCCGGCUGCUUCUCCCGUGGCUCCGAGUGCUCCGCCAGCUCCUCCCGUGGCUCCGAGUGCUCGGAGCGUGAAGAGGACCAGGGACGCUGCUGCCGAGCCCACGGACCAACCGUCCAAGGUGCCAAACCGAGUGGGUCCAAGCCUCGGAAAGCUUUGCCUCGGAUAAGGAUCACUGUUCCAGUUGCCUCAGCGUAAGUGUCUUGUUCUCCCAUCUUCUUUCAGUAUUUGAUUGAACUCAUGCUUAUCGGUCGAGUGGAUUUUACUCGACGGAGCUGCUACCUCCGCCACCUCUCUGCCGCGCCAGGACGAUGAUCCCAUGGAUAUGGAUAACGCUGCCACAUCCCAGCAAGGUAUGUUGUGACGACUCCGAGAGUUUGCAUUAUUGUUUCGCGAGUGUUGUCUUUAAUCUUGCCCUAUUUCUGCAACCUCAUGUUGUUCAGUCGGGCUUCCUUCGGAGGUGAUUCAUCUGGAGGAGGACGACCAAAGGGGAUCAGGGUCAACUUUGGCUCCUGUCCUUGAGGUUGUUCCAUCUGCUGCUGCUCCCACCAUGGACACGCCGCCGACCGAGCCGAUGCCGUCGACUGAGGCAGUGCCCCUCGCAGCGGAACCGACUGGAGCGGGACAUGGGAUGCCCAAGGAGUCUUCUAUCGUGCCAGGUCCAUCGACCGUCCAGUACGACGCCCGACACCUCCCGGAAGACCAAGUUGGAGCCGCCAAGGAGGCCAUGGUGCAGGUGGAGUUGAUGGUGGGUGAUGCCAAGGGAGCGUACGACUCCAUCGCGUCUUUGUACAAGAGAAGCUUGGAGCUCCGAGACGAUAUCCGAGUAAGUGCGCUAGUAAGUGUUUACUUUCCUCUUGUAGCCCACUAGGGGUUUAAGUGAUAUACUCGGAUACAGUAGGAUUAUUUUGUAGUGGGUUCACUCAGAGUGAACCUAGUGGGUGUAGUCCCCGAGACUUCUGUCGAUUGCUUGCACCGGCAGUUGUCUUUAUAUGUAUUUCUCGUUAUCUAAGCAGAUCAGAGCUGGUCUGCCCGAAUAUUACUACUGGGGGCAAUCGGAGUGCAUCCACUGGAUGUAGUCCCCGAGAGUAGUGUUACUCAGGUCGGGUAAUAGCAUUCUCGUAGAUUUGUCUGUUUGUCAUGUAGCUCAAUAGGGCCGGCCUGUUCGAGCUUCAUGCCAGUGGGGUCACUCUUAGUGAACCCACUAGGUGUAGUCCCCGAGACCGCUGUCGAGUGCUUGCAUCGGCAGGGGUCUGAAUAACUUUGAGCUUUGUUUGUUUUCCUUGUUGAAUGUGUCUGAGCUUCCCUUUGCGCUGAUUUGGCAGAAGACUUGCGAAAUGGGAUCCGCGUACAAUGCUCUGAAGUCUGAAAAGGUUCAUCUUGCUGCGGAAUUGGAGGCGGCAGUGAAUGACUUGGCUGGUGUGAAGGGGGCUCUUACUGACCGAGAGAAGUAUUUGGAGGAGUCCCGGGAGACCAACAAGGCAUUGGUGGCUGAAAUUGAGAAAAUGGGCAAGCAAAGAACUGAACUGAUGGGUCAGAUGAAGGUGAUGAACCGUCGAUGCAUUUCGCAGGAGAAGUAUGUCAACGACUGGGCAAGGAAGAUGAUUGCACUGCUCGGUGGUAAGAUUUUUGCCGAGUGCUUCUUGACUUUGUAAUUCAUUCUGCGCUUACUUUCCGCUCGUCUUUUCUUUGCAGAUUUUUGUCUGUACGCUGAGGCUGAAGCAGCCGACAUUGAACGGUCGGUUGUUCCGAACGUUUCACUCGGCGACGAAGCCAAUCAGGACAUGCUCCGAGCACAUAUUCCCCUUGGCAGAGUGGGACCUUUCAUCCGCCGUCUGAGAGAAGUCAUCAGCCGGAUCGACAAGGAGCUGUGGCCCGAAGACGAUUCCCGGCAGGAAAUAGAAGGGUUGAUGACUCGGCUGGAGGACGUCCCGAACAGAGUGGAGGCAUGGAAGAAGUCUGCCGCUCGUUGUGGUGCGGACGUGGCGCUAUCGCUGGUCCGAAUGCACUGCAAGGAAGCUCGCAAAGAAAAGUUGAAGGCGUUGCAGGUCGCCAACACCAAGAACCUUCGAUUCGAAGAUUUGAUGGAGACCUUCCUGGAGACAGCCACUCGUAUCGCGGACGGGAUCGACCUUGAGACCUUUGUGGAGCCUGCCAGUCUCGGUGCCAGUCCUGAUGACGCUUGAAAAACUUUACCUCGGUAUGCCGAGUGGUAUCUGUAUCAAACUUUGGCCACUGCUGUUGGCCGUCACAUUUGUGGUUCGGUGUGGAUAAGCUUGAUUCACACCGAGCCGAUCCAACUUUGAAUUCGAAUCGAAUAUUUUGCUCUUCUUUCGCCAAGUUUUUUUUUUUGACACGAUUUUGGCUCGUGGUUUUUGUUUUGCGUUUCUUGGUGAAGCCAAUGGCAAACAUGCGGAGCAUGUAAUUGUCAGUUCUCUUCACAUCCACAUGAGCCUCAAUGAGGGUCUGCUAAGCCUCCGAGUGGAUAUCGAGGAUACACACGAAGGAAGCUUUUUACUUAGGCGAUUCUGGAUCGCAGCUAAGUCCCCGAGUGCGNUGCUAAGCCUCCGAGUGGAUCUCGAGGAUACACUCGAAGGAAGCUUUUUACUUAGGCGAUUCUGGAUCGCAGCUAAGUCCCCGAGUGUGGCUUUCGUGCGCACUCGGAGCAAGCUUUUUACUUAGGCGAUUCAGGGUCGCAGCUAAGUCCCCGAGUGCGGAUUUUGGCGCACACUCGGAGAGAGUUUUUUACUUAGGCGACUCUGGGUCGCAGCUAAGUUCCCGAGUGCGGCUGUUAGCGCAUACUCGGAGCGAGUUUGUACUUAGGCGAUUCUGGGUCGCAGCUAAGUCCCCGAGUGCGACUUUUAGUGCACACUCGGAACGAGUUUGUACUUAGGCGAUUCUGGGUCGCAGCUAAGUCCCCGAGUGCGGCUGUUAGCGCACACUCGGAGAGAGUUUUUUACUUAGGCGACUCUGGGUCGCAGCUAAGUCCCCGAGUGCGACUGUUAGCGCACACUCGGAGUGAGUUUGUACUUAGGCGAUUCUGGGUCGCAGCUAAGUCCCCGAGUGCGACUUUUAGUGCAUACUCGGAGAGAAUUUUUUACUUAGGCGACUCUGGGUCGCAGCUAAGUCCACGAGUGCCGCUGUUAGUGCACACUCGGAGAGAGUUUUUUACUUAGGCGACUCUAGGUCGCACCUAAGUCCCCGAGUGCGGCUGUUAGCGCACACUUGGAGAGAGUUUUUUACUUAGGCGACUCUGGGUCGCAGCUAAGUCCCCGAGUGUGGCUGUUAGCGCACACUUGGAGAGAGUUUUUUAGACCGGAGUCUGCAAACGCGGAAGAAUUUUGGACCUGCAAAAAAUCGGUCUGCUUUAUAUUACUUCAAUGAUACUUGUUCUUUACAUUGCCUCCGUCGGCGGUCACGUGUAGAAGCGCUUCAGGAGAUCUCUGUUCCAUGCUCGCGGCUCGUCCGUUUCCCUGUCGAGGUUGUAGAGUCGAUAUGCUCCGUUGUUCAGCACCUUAGAGAUGAUGAAGGGUCCUUCCCAGGCGGGAGCCAACUUGUGAGGCCUCUGCUGGUCCACUCGGAGCACGAGGUCGCCUCCUUGGAAUGUGCAACUCCUGACAUGUCGCGCGUGAAAUUGCCGCAGAUCUUGUUGAUAAAUUGUUGAGCGAGUCAGUGCCAUAUCGCGCUCUUCUUCUAGUAGAUCCACUCCGUCUUGCCUGGCUUGCUCUGCUUCGGCUUCGGAGAAGAGUUCGACUCGUGGAGAGUUGUGAAGCAAGUCACUCGGAAGGACCGCCUCUGUCCAUAAACGAGGAAGAACGGGGAUCGCCUUGUAGAUCUAAUCGGAGUUGUGCGGAGGCCCCACAACACUGAAGGCAGCCCAGUGACCCAUGUGCCGGUGGCAUGUCCAACUUCUCGUAGGAGUCGAGGCUUCAACCCUUGAAGAAUAAGUCCGUUUGCCCGCUCUGCUUGCCCCUUGGUUUGGGGUGCGCCACAGAUGCAAAAUCCACUCGGAUACCUUGGCCUGUGCAAAAACCUUUGAAUCUGUCCGAGUCAAAGUUUGUGCCAUUGUCAGUGAUUAUGCUGUGCGGGACUCCGAAUCUGGAGAUGAUGUCUCUGACAAAUUUGAUGGUCGUAAGGGCGUCGAGCUUCUUGAUGGGCUUAGCUUCAAUCCACUUGGUGAACUUGUCGACUGCCACCAACAGAUGAGUGAAUCCCCCUUGGCAUGUUCUGAAUGGACCAACCGUAUCUAAUCCCCACAUUGUGAACGGCCAAACAAGAGGGAUUGUCUUCAGUGCAGAUGUUGGCUUGUGGGACUUGUUCGAAUAGAACUGACAGCCUUCGCAUCGAUCGACCAUAUCCAUUGCCAUUUCAUUCGCCUACAGCUAGAAGAAACCGGCUCUGAAUGCUUUGGCGGCGAUUGCUCUUGAGGAGGCAUGAUGGUCGCAGGUUCCCGAGUGAAUUUAUUCCAGGAUCAACUGUCCCUCCUCAGGGGAGAUGCAUCGCUGAAGGACGCCUGAAACACUUUCCUUGUACAACUAACCAUCAAUGACGGUGAAGGACUUCGACCUGCGGACGAUCUGCCUCGCUUGGACUUCGUCCUCUGGUAAUUCUUGCCUCAGGAUGUACGCAAUGAACGGCAAGUCAGUCGGAUCUGUUGAACUCUUCUGUUGUACCGGUUCCUUUGUAAAAGGAUCUUCCUUCACCGAAUGGAGAUGUAGGUGCUCGAGGCAGACAUCACUCAGGACUGGUCUCCGAGUGGAUCCGAGUUUUGCCAACUCAUCAGCUGCUUGGUUCUUCAGUCGCGGAACAUGGUGCAGUUCCAGACCUUCAAACUUCUUCUCGAGCUUCCUUACUGCGUUGCAGUAUGCAGUCAUGGUGGGGUUCCUGACAUCCCACUCAUUCAUCACUUGAUUAACCACCAAACCUGAAUCACCAUAGACCAUCAGGCGACGGACGCCGAGUGUGAUGGCCAUGCGCAAUCCGUAAAGGAGAGCUUCAUACUCUGCCUCAUUGUUGGAAGAAUCGAAAUGUAUCUACAACACAUACUUAAGCUUGUCACCUUUUGGCGAUACGAUCACUACGCCAACGCCGGAGAGCCAUUCAACAUCUUGGACCCAUCGAAGAACAUAGUCCAAUGAGCCGAGUAGAUGUGAGUCGGUUGCUGUUGUUCUACCCAUUCUGCUAUGAAGUCAGCCAGAGCUUGAGACUUUAUAGCCUUCUUGGCUUCAAACUUGAUGUCGCAGUAUAACAUCUCCAUUGCCCACUUCGCCACUCGGCCUGAUGUGUCUCGAUUGUGGAGGAUUUCCGACAAUGGAGCAUCAGAAAUGACGGACACCGAGUGGUCUUGGAAAUAAUGAGCCACCUUCUUCGCAGUCAUGUAAAUCCCGUAAAUAAGCUUUUGAUAAUGGGGAUACCUCUGCUUGGAAGGAGUCAGGACUUCGGAGACAUAAUAUACUGGCCGCUGAACCUUGUACGCUUUACCUUCUUCUUCGCGUUCGACUGUGAGAACAGUGCUGACGACUUGAUUUGUAGCCGCGAUGUACAGAAGAAGGGGUUCUUUACUGAGCGGGGCAGUAAGAACCGGCUGGGUGGAAAGCAGGGCUUUGAGGUCGUCGAAUGCAAUUUGGGCUUCGUCUGUCCACUCGAAAGUAUCUGAUUUCUUCAUGAGUCGGUACAGAGGUAACGCCUUCUCGCUGAGUCGAGCGAUAAACCUUCUCAAAGCCGCUAGGCAACCUGUGAGCCUUUGAACAUCAUGUAUUCUGACCGCCCGCUCCAUUCGGACGAUGGUCCCGAUCUUUUUGGGGUUGACAUCGAUCCCUCAUUCGGAAACGAAGAAACCGAGCAACUUUCCGCUGGGAACACCGAAUGAACACUUGGCAGGGUUGAGCUUGAUAUCGUACCUACGAAGGUUGGCAAAUGUUUCUGCCAAGUCAAUCAGCAGGUCGGAACCUUUGCGUGACUUGACUACCAUAUCAUCCAUAUAUGCCUCCACAUUUCGACCGAUCUGGUCAAGGAGGCAUUUUUGGAUCAUGCGCAUGAAAGUUGCUCCUGCAUUCUUCAAACCGAAUGGCAUAGUGAUGUAGCAGAAACACCCGAAUGGGGUGAUGAAGGCUGUUUUUAAUUCAUCCGGACCAUACACACGGAUCUGAUGAUAGCCCGAAUAGGCAUUAAGGGAUGAUAAAUGCUCGCAGCCCGCAGUCGAAUCAACAAUUUGAUCAAUGCGGGGGAGCAGGAAAUGAUCUUUCGGGCAGACCUUAUUGAGAUGCUUGAAGUCGAUGCACAUACGGAGGGACUUGUCCUUCUUGGGCACCAUGACAACAUUGAAGAGCCACUCGGAGUGGUGUACCUCGUGAAUGAAGUUGGCUGCCAAAAGUUUAGCCACCUCCUCUCCGAUUGCCUUCCUUUUGUGCGCGGCGGACCGACGCAGGCGUUCUCGGACGGGUCGAGCAGCAGGAUCCACAUGCAGUCGGUGCUCAGCCAACUCCCUUGGUACACCUGGCAUGUCAGCGGGCUUCCAUGCGAAAAUGUCCCAGUUCUCACGAAGGAAUUGGAUGAGCUCGGCUUCCUAUUUCGGAUCAAGGGUGGUGGAGAUGUUCGUCGGGGCAGCGGUGUCGUCCGUCGGGUGGAUGCUGACUUUCUUCGUAUCGCCCGCCGACUAGAAUGCGGACUCCGAAGCUGGCUUCUUCGAACGCAUCAAGUCAGCGGGGUCGGCUGUCUUCUUGUACUCAUCCAGCUCGAGGAUAGCCAUCUGCUGAUCGGCAAUCCUCGACCCCUACUGCAGACACUCCUCGGCCCGCUGCCGAUUGCCUGUGAUCGUGAUCACGCCUUUGGGACCCGACAUCUUCAGCUUCAAAUACACGUAACAUGGACGGGCCAUGAAACGCGCAUACGCCGGACGGCCCAAAAUCGCAUGGUAUACGCUCUGGAACUCCACCACCUCGAAUGUCAGCUUUUACUUGCGGAAGUUCUUGUCGGAGCCGAAAACGACGUCCAACGCGAUCUCGCCGAGUGACUUGGCCUUUCAUCCUGGGACGACUCCGUGGAACUGCAUGCUGCUCUCGCUAAGUUUGGACAUCGGAAUGCCCAUCCCCUUGAGAGUGUCAGCGUACAUGAUGUUCAAGCCGCUGCCGCCAUCCAUGAGGACUUUGCACAGUCGGACUCCUUCCACCACCGGGUCGACUACCAGAGCCUGCCUCCCCGGGGUGGGCACGUGUGCUGGAUGAUCCGACUGAUCAAAGGUGAUCGCAGUCUGAGACCAUUUGAGGAACGUGGGGUUGGUUGGGGUGGCCAUGUUCACCUCCCUGUUCACCAGCUUCAGUCGACUCUUGCUUUCCACGUCAGCAAAAAUCAUCAAUGUUGCAUGGACUUGGGGGAACGGAUCCUCCUUGUCCUCAUCAUCCUGCUCGUUGUCCUUUUCACUCGGUUGCCCUUCACCGAACCCUUGGAUCAGGAGGCGACAUUGCCGAGUGGUGUGCUUCGGGAAUAUGGCGUUGCCUUCUUCAUCCAUCUUCGUGUGGAUUGGACAUGGCUGAUCCAGGAUGGAGUUCCCGAACUGCUUCUUCUUGGGGGUGUACUGAGCCUUCCCCUUGCCCUUGAACUUGGCAUUUGUAACGGGAGCUGCCUCUGCCUGCGGAGUGGACGGAGCUUUCUGCUUUUGCUUCCGAUUGUUGUUCCCAUCUCCAUCGGCGACUGCCUUGUGCUUGCCACUACGUAUGCGGUCCUCUUCUUCGCCAUUUGCGUAGCGUGCGGCUAUCUCCAUCAUCUUGCUCAUGGAGAUGUCGCCUGUCCAACCAAACUUGAGGUACAGAUCUCUGUACCGCACGCCUGCCUUGAAGGCGCGGACUGCUUCAUGCUCUGUGACGUUCUCCACUGUGUGGUAGAGGGUCGUCCAGCACUGGAUGAAAUCACGCAGGGGCUCAUUCUGCUUCUGGACACAGUGCUGGAGCUCCACGAGACCAGCAGGGCGUUUGCACGUGCCCUCGAAGGUUCUGAUGAAGACUCGGGACAGAUCUGCUCAGCUGUAGAUGCUUGAUGGAGCCAACUGGUUCAGCCACGCUCGUGCCGAGCCGUCGAGCAUCAGGGGGAGAUGUUUCAUGGCGACCUGGUCAUCUACGCCACCGAUCUAGACUGCCACUCGGUAGUCGUCCAGCCACGUUUCUGGCUCGGAUUCUCCUAUGAACUUGUUGAUCCCCGUCGCCAAUCGGAAGUUGGGAGGGAUGUCAGCUGAACGGAUGGCCCGACUGAAGCACUCGGGGCCAGAGACGAUGGUCCUGCCGACACUCGGACGGUCUCUAUCGUGACCAUCACGGUGGGCUCGACUCCUGUCGACCUUCCUCUGGGCGAUGUACCCUCUUGCGUCGGGCCUUGGAUCAUACGUGUCACCGACUGAAUGCCGAUCAUCGUGAUGUCGGGGUCCGUAAGGCCCACCCCGCGGAGGGGUGCGUGAACGACGACGAUCUUCGGGAUUCGUGGAAUGGCUGCCCCCUCUGCGUCGCUGAUGAGAUUGGGGGUUGUAAACUGACCAUGCGUGUUCGCGUGAACAAAACUGUUGUGGAUCAUGUUGUGCGACUGGGAGACUGCCGAAUUCUGCUAUUGCGCCGUGUGCAACAGGGCACGGAUCUGCUCGAUCCCUCUACCAGCCUCUGAAUCAGUCGGUUGGAGGGAAUCGGCUAUCUUGGCGGCGGCGGCCAGGUUGAGGACGGGUGUGCGGAACACCUCGACGUUGCUUUGACGAGUGCGUCGACUGGCAGAACGGUGGUGUUGAUGGCGAGCGCCAGACGAUUCGCCGACCUCGUGCUCGUUCCGACCAGUACGGUGGGGACUUUCAUGGGAAUUGGCCAUGAGAACGGUGCAAGUGCACUUUUCGUAGAAAGAUGAAGCUUUUGUUGGGCUUUUGAUGUUUUUUCUGAAGAAUACCUGUCGUGGGUAUAAGUCUGACAGUAGAUGUGUAGGGUACGAAAGGAUGGGCAGAGCCUUAGCUAUGGCGAGGUUGUAUGAGUUCAGGCCCCUCUACGGUGGAGGUAAAAGCCCUACGUCUCAGUGCUCUUGGGAGCUUAGUGUCGAGUGGAAUAUGGGAUUACAGUAAAAGCCAACCCCUGCACUAGUGGGGAAGAGCGGCUUAUAUGGAGUGCCCUGCCUUCCACAACGGCCCGGUGGACAGGGGUGGAAUAGUGGCGAAUAAAAGCCUACGUUACAGGUAACGUAUGCCUUAAAUGCUAAUAAUGGUGUAUGAAAACGUGUGACCGUUGCCCUCCUGGGAGGUUACGAUGUACAGAGUGGAAUUCAGUCGGUACGAUAAAUAUGCUCCGAAUGCUCGUCACCGACUGGAUGAUGGGGGGUCCUUAGUUCAGUCGGAACUGUCUAAGGGACUUGCCCUCUAUGAAGGGUAGUCAUUGGGUAGGACCUAUAGGGCAGGCCUAUGACCCUACCCUGGGACUAUAACCCCAUCAAUACCACUGGUGAACUCAAAGGACAGAUGUCUUGAAUGAGGGAAGGCUCACCACUAGAACCCUCUGAUUGCAUCAAAAUAUCCUUUAUGUUUGAUCUUUCUAGUAAUUAUGUAUUUGACUAAUGUCUCCUACUUAAAAAAAAGAAUAACAACCAGUCUUCAACUGUUAAAGUUUUAUAUCUAUAUUUAGACACAAUUGGUGUUGAGGCACUAAAUAUGUAUGCCACGUGCAAUGCACAUGCUCCCCAGUCAUAUAUAUGCUUCAAUCUAUUUAUAUGUUGUUUUCUUGCGCCUUUGUGCUCUCUACAUUGCUUCACAAAUAGUGAUAGUGAGGCUACUCCUCGUCUCUCUCAUCUUUCAAACCAGUGGCAGUGACAGAUCACACCUCAACCUUGCAGGAGUUGUUAUGGACCAUCUGGUUUUCUUCAGGAAUCCACACCACUGGCAAUUCUGAUGGAGACCAUCCACCUGACGUCCUUCUUGCUACAACCACUCUGUUAUGUACUUCUAUUGCCACACAUGGCCUUUGGUAGAUCCCAGUGAGAUGAACUCCACCAAAAAUCCCUCAAUAAUUGUGAACCCAAAAAAUUAGGGAUUUAACUUAGAAAGAAUAACAGAGUCUACAACUAAGACAAUAAUUUUUAAAUUUUUCUUACUUACAAUUCGCAAAUUGGGUUAAGAGUGUACUACUUAAAAUGGAGAAUGUAUAUAUAUAUUAUUCGGAUGAUCAGAUGGGUCUUCUUCUACAUGGUGACUAUUGACGCAAAAUGAUUGCAGUUCUAUCUCAUCCACUACAUUUUGUUACUCAGAUUGUAAGUUAUUGUGCAUAUGUACUAUCAUCACACUUUUACUUUCCUUUGUGUUUGAUGUAGAGAUACGAACAAAGCUACAAAGUCAUAAGGGCACAUGAUCUUGUAGAUUUUUUAGAGUCUUCUUGGCAGCCUACAAAUUAUCUUUAUUUGAAUACAUAAUCCAUAUAUUUAUGCAAAAUAGAUGUGGAGUACGCAUUCUUUCUCUUAUUAGCUCACAAACAGGCUAUGGGCACCACAUCUUAGCAACACACAUCACACUGAAACGGACAUUAGAGUGCUACUCCCUCUGUUUGAAAAUAGAGUGUGUUGUUAGACUUUGACAACAAAUAUCUUGUACAAUAUUUUGUUGUUGUUACAAAUCAUAAUCAUAAGGAAGUGCUUCUCAACAUGAAUAUAAUGGUGUCUAUUUUGUAUAAGAUAAGCUACAUAUUAGUUGACUAAUUAUUGGUGAAAGCACAAAUUUGGACCGUCAAAGUAUGCUUUAUAUUUUGAAAUGGAAGGAGCAGUGGUUAUGGUUGUGAUACGUGUCUUAUGCAUUUAUUUGUAAAAGGAGUAGAAACCCAACCUGGAAGCAUAAAGUGACAGAGUAAUACCUGCUACUCCUUAAACAGGUUGGUACAAGUCUUCUCUAUUUGGUUUCACAUGCUACAUUGUAUAGAAAAACUGAGCUUGCAUAUAAAAUGUCAUGGAAAAACAUUUCUACACUUUAUAUCUGGUGAAAUUCAAGUUAUUAUCAAUUACUUGCAAGGAAUAAGUAGGGUGCUGCAUUUAUUUUUGUUACUGAGCAAGUAUCAUCAUUUUAUUAAUUCUGGUGUAAUAUUGAACAAUGAUGCUUCAUAUCAUUAGGACACUUCAUAAUUUAUUCCACUCUUGUUGUCUUUCAGGUCAAGAAAAAAGACGAGGUAUCUCUGCGAGAAACUACCUUUUCUUUACGCCUGUGGUCUUUUGAAAAUCUCAUCUACCCCCUUUGAUGGAAGGUUGAUUCUGUGUGGACUUGGAUAUGAUUCUGAAAUAUAUCCGGAGAUUGCACAAAGCUCUACAGCAUCGCACUACAAUGGCAAUAUGAAGCUUUGGUUCGAGUUGGGCUCACUACACUUGGGCAUACCGGACUACAAGAAGUACCGGAGGAGGUUUCUCACUCGAAAAGAUCGCUUCAUGGAAAGUGCAAUGUAAAUCCGUGUCACACUUCAUCAGAACCAUCGACAACAGUUUGUGACGUCCAGUGGCCUCCUCCCUAGAAUCAUGUCUCUACCGACCGGAUGCCUAUAGCUCCCAAGAGAUGCACUGUCAUUGGCUACAAUCGACAACAAACUUCACGCAUCAGUUGAACAUGAGAAGAUGUCCUGCCAUUGGCUACCAGUGCCAUUGGUAUUGAGCAGACGCAGCAUCAUCUGUCCAUUGCACUGAAUAGAUUGAUUGAUGGUUUCAUUACCUUGUGAUUUGUUCUGUCGUCGAUGCAAAGAUCCAUUUCAUAUUUCUCUCUUUUCUAAUAAGAGCACAAACAAACAUGUAAUCUCAUUUUUUGGCUGUUAGCUGUAGCGGGGUGAUUAAUUUUUUUGGUAGUUUGGCGCUUGUGAAAUUGUGGAUGGCCUGUAUAUUGUUUGCUGGAAUGCCAUAUUUUCUGCAAGGCCUCGAGGGACGGACUCAUUUGUUAUCCUGAGUGUUGUGGUGUCCAUGGGUCCUUUGUGCAUCUAAAUUGGUGUGUCCAUGAUUUGGCAUGCUAGGCGCAAGAGAUGUAUCGGUGCACCAAAGGCAUGAUUAGCACCUCUAAUAGCCUUGUGAUAGCACAUAAAGGAACACGUAGGCGCGGAAAUGAAACUUGGCCAACGAGGAAUCUGAAACUUCAAUAGGCACUAGCUUCUUGUUCAGGUACGAAGAAUGGGCGCAUUGAUCUCACUUUUAUAUGGUGCGGACCUCUUGUAAAAGCACACAAGUUGAUAUUACAAUUCCAUAGCAUAAGAGGUAUUAGCCUUGUUUUUUUUCCUAACACUGAUGUCGUGGAGAUUUUAUUAAAAAUUCAUGCCCUUGGAUAAGUACUAUAAAAUUACACUGCAAUAUUAUUUAUACAAUACCUUUUCUACCUUUUUUUUAAAGUCUAAGUGGUUAAUGGCCGAGAGAGAAAUUUAGUAUGCGCUGUGUUCAUAUAGGUGUAAUCAAAAUAAAUAAAUUAAUAACCCGUGAUAACGCACGAACUUUUUACUAGUCAUACAUAGAUGUACAUCUCAAGGAAGACUAUGAGGAGGGGUCCGAAGAAGAGGGAGACUAUGAGACCCUGUUCCAUAUAAUUUUCUUUCCUCGGGUGAUGCUUUUUUGAACACGGUAAACAUUUUAGUUUAAUGACAACUCAUUCAUCUGAAUCAGCCCAUAACCACGCAAAAAAUAAAACUGUACGAAUAAAACCAGGGUUAACGACGUAACCUAACGGCAAACUUCUCCGGCUGGACAGUGGGACUCGCGGCCAUCCACACUCACAGAGCCUCUCUCUCUUUGGGUUUUCAAUUGGCAGCAGAACAAGACAAAUAAAAGCUAGCUAAAGAAUUGGCAGCGGACCCGUGUUAGACUGCUUUUUAGAAAAAACUGAACCGACAUUGGUAACCGUAGUUAUUAUAAAGCCCCGGGUACCUCACAUGUUCAACAUCUGUCUCUGCUUACUGACUGAACCACAUUUAGCUACUCUGACCCAUAUUUAGUUACUACUACUAGUAAUACUACUAAUUGAUUGAAAGAUUAGGCAAAAGCUAAAGGCUUCUAAUCCAUCCCCAAAGCCCAAAGACCGGAGGAAUAAAUCUUGAAAAGGGUAAAGAGUAAUUUCCUUCCCAGCUUUUCCGAAGUCCUGAAGAUAGAGAGAGAGAGAGAGUAGAGAUAGAGAGUGAGGGUGCUCGCUCUCUCUCUCUCUCCUCCCUCUGGCCUCCCCUAUUAAUUUCCUUCUAGUUUUCUGCAAGCACACACUCUGAUAAGCCUCCCCCCCCCUCCCCCCCUCUCUCCAGCGCUCGCUCUUUGUGUGAGUGUGGGACGGGACAGUUAUUAUAUUAUCUUCAGCAAGAAGGCAGUUCCUCCUUCUCUCGCCCUCACACUGUCACACACACUCACGCUCUACGAGAGAGAGAGAGAGANNNNNNNAGAGAGAGAGAGAGAGAUGGAGAGCAAUGUUUCCUGGUAGCUGCCUUCUUCCUGCUCUCCUGCCCCUGAUUUGAGCCCCCCUCCGCGUCCGUUUCCUCUGCACCAGAUCUGCGGGGCGCUUCUCGUCGUUGUGCCGCUGCGUUUCGGCCAGCAAGUCAGCCAUGAGCAAGGAGGAUGUGCUCAAGAUACAGGUGAGGUUCUUCCUUCCUUGCUUUGCUUCCUCCCAACUCAAGACAUUCUCCCGCAUGUUCCUUCUUGUUUCUGCUGCCAUGGAAUUUCCGUGAGGUUGCUUGCUUGCUCCUAUGUCUGAUCCCUGCAUGCUGUUCGUGUUUCUUUGUUUGUUCGUCCCCAAAUCCACAGACCUGCGUGCUCAAGGUGAACAUCCACUGCGAUGGGUGCCAGAAGAAGGUGAAGAAGAUCCUCAGCAAGAUCGAUGGUAAGUAAUGGAUCGACUUCUGGUUGUCCGUCUUGUUUAGCUGUUCCGCCGGGAGAAUGUGUUGGAUUCAUCCCUCUUGUUUGCAGGCGUGUACCAGAGCUCCAUCGACCCGGAGGAGGGCAAGGUGAUGGUGUCCGGGCUGGUGGAUCCGGACACCAUCAUUAAGAAGCUCAACAAGGGCGGCAAGCCGGCUGUGCUCUGGGGUUCCAAGCCCGGUGGCGUCGCCAACCAGUUCCAGAAGCUCCACCUAGACGGUGGCGGCGGCGGUAAGGGCCAGCAGCCCAAGGACGCCGGCGGCAAAGGCCAUGCCAAAGAUGCCGGCGGCAAGGCCCACAAGGGAGGCGGUGGCGGCAAGGACGCAAAGAUGGCGAUGCCGCAGCCGACCCCGCAGCAGAUUCAGCAAAUGCAGCAGCAGAUGCAGAUGAAGGGCCCGACGCCGCAGCAGCUUCAGCAGCUGCAGCAGCAGAUGCAGAUGAAGGGCGCGCCGACGCCGCAACAGCUCCAGCAGCUGCAGCAGCAGAUGCAGAUGAAGGGAGCGCCGACCCCGCAGCAGCUCCAGCAGCUGCAGCAGCAGAUGCAGAUGAAGGGCGCGCCGACCCCGCAGCAGCUCCAGCAGCUGCAGCAGCAGAUGCAGAUGAAGGGGCUCAAGCUGCCGCCGCAGUUCAUGGGUGCCGCCGCGGCGAAGAUGCCUUUCCCGGCGGGUGCGCCGGCCAAGGACCCCAAGUCCGUCAAGUUCAACAUCCCCGACGACGGCUGGGGCGACGACGGCGGCAGCGAGUUCGACGACGAGUUCGACGAAUUUGACGACGACGAAGAUUUCGACGAUGAUGGCUUCGAAGACGACUACUACGACGACCCCAAGAUGAUGAUGAAGCAGAUGGCCAUGCCGCCGAACGCCGGCGGGGGCGACAAGAAGGGCGCUAGCAAUGGUGGGAAGAAGGGCGGUGGAGGAAACGAGAUCCCGGUGCAGAUCAAGGGGAACGGCAACAACGGCGGCAAGAAAGACGCAGGUGGCAAGCAGCAGCACCAAGGCGGCAACGGCAACGGCAACGGCGGUGGUAAGAACGCAGGCGGUGGUGGGCAGCCGAACAACGUCAAGGGAGGAGCACCGGUCCAGGGGAAGAAGGGCGGCGGCGUUGGUGGCCCGGCAGCAGCGAUGGGCGGCCCGAUUGGCGGCGGCAUGCAGCCGCAGCAGCAGGCCAUGUUCAGGCCUAACAUGAUGGGCGGCGCCGGUUUCCCCGGCAUGGGCGGUCCCAUGGGCCACCCCCACGCGGCGAGCAGCGCUCAGGCUGGCCGCGCCAUGCAGGGCAUGCCGCCGGCUGGGUUUUACCAGGGCGCUGGUGGCGGCGGCGGUGGCAUGCCGUCCGGGGCAGAGAUGCUGCAGGCUGCCGCUGCGGCCGGGAACCCCAUGGCGCAGCAGCAGUACAUGGCACUGAUCCAGCAGCAGCAACAGCAGCAGCAGAUGACAAUGCUGCAACAGCAGCAGCAGCAGCAAAUGAUGAUGAACGGCGGCCACGGCGGCGGCGCGGGAGGGUACCCGCAGAUGGGCUACGGGCCAGGUUACGGGCGGCCGCCGAUGGGCUCGUACCCGAUGCCAACCGCCUAUGCGAUGCCGCCACAGCCACCAGCGGGCGAGCCUUACAACUACUUCAGCGACGAGGACCCCAACAGCUGCUCGGUGAUGUGAGAGAUGAUGGAUCGCGCCACCGCCGCUCAUGGUUGAAAGGAAGGCCAUGAUGAAUCUGGCAGUGACAUGGGGCAGCAACAAGUCCCAUCUAGAUCGGUCCUCUUCUGUUUCUUCUUGAUUAAUUUAGCUUCUACAUUUUCGCCUUUUAUUUCAAUCAAGCUUAAAAAAGGGACAAGAGCCGUGAGACCUGCUUGAAGGCGAGUGUAGGUACAGUAAUUAUCUAUAGAUGUCAUAAGAGAUGAAUGCUCCCAUGCUGUUACAGUUGAAGAACAAUGUGAUUGACUGAUGGUAGAUCAAUGAACAGUAUGCAAAAUAACUAUGGUGUCAAUGCUCUGUCUUGUGUAUGCAAAAUAACUAUGGUCUCGGUGCUCUGUCUUGUGUUGCAUUCUGCACCGGUAUGACUUAAAAUCAUAUAGUUUUAAAUAGCCAGCGCCUUUAAGCCAACAUAGGAGAAGUUGGAUCGGGUUCUGACCAACUGAUCAUAGUCCAUGCCUUGCAAAGGGCCAAAUCAGCCAACAUAGGAGAAGUUGGUUCGGGUUCUGACCAACUGAUCAUAGUCCAUGCCUUGCAAAGGGCCAUAUCGGAUAACACAUCACUAUAUAUAGCGCCGUUAAGCGAAUAUUGCUGGAGGCCUUCAAAUUCAAACUUCAAAUUCAGUGCAAAUUUGUAUUUUAAUGUUUCAAAAAAUUCUGAAAAAAAAAUACAUAGAUAAAUGAAGGUAUAAUACACAAGUGUGUAAAUUUUCAGAACAAAAUACGUUGAAAUAAGGGCUGUGCAAAAUCGACAAAUCUGAGGCUGUUUACUAUUCAUCAUUUCAGACCAUGAAUUUGUUUUUUUGUACAGAUCACGAUUUAAAGUAUUUUGACCUGAAAUUUUACACACAUGUCGGUUACAUCCUUACAUACAUGCAUAUUUUUUUCAGAAUUUUUUGAACCAUAAAAAUUUCAAUUUGAAUUUUUCAAAAAUAAAGGCAUCCAUGGCUCCCGGGAGCCAAAACGCCAUUCUCGCCGUUAAGCCAACAUAUUGAAGUCGGAUCGGGUUCUGACCAACUGAUCAUAGUCCAUGCCUUGCAAAGGGCCGAUAUCCAUGCCUUGCAAGGGGCCAUAUCGGAUAACACAUCACUAUCGAUCGAUUCUCGGAAAGUGAUACAUAUGGGUAACAAAAAUAUUUUCUCUCGAUUCUGAGAAAGUGAUUUAUAUUGGUAACAAAAAUAUUUUCUCUUUUGAAUUAAGUUGGUUCGAGAGAGAAGGAUUGAUGGAUUUCAUUGCUGCUGAAUGGGUCAGGGAAUCUGGUGGGUCAUCUAGUAUGGAAAGAUGGCAGAAUAAAAUCAGACACUUGUGCUGUGCCGGUUCUUGAGAGGCUGGACCAAAAAUCAAAAUGGCAUUUACAAAGUAAAUAAAAGGCUUAUUCAACUCAUUAAUGAGUUAGAUAUGAAAGCAGAGUCUACAGUUCUUAAUAUGUCAGAUCGGAAUAUUAAGAUUAAGGUUGAGAAGAAGUUGCCAUCUCUUCUAAGAGAGGAGGAGAUGAAAUGGGCCCUUCGAGGAAAGGUGAUGAAGGUGGUCCAUGGGGAUGAUAACACACAAUUCUUUCACGUGAUUGCGAAUGACAAACAUAGGAAGAAGAACAUAAUUCAACUUGAACAGGAUGAUGGUACAAUUAUAGGACAUGAGAACCUACAAUUAUACAUCUCCAAAUACUAUAAAAAAUUGUUUGGCGCAUUCGAAGAGAAUUUUGUUUCUCUGGAUGAGUGCACAACAAGCGACAUACCUCACCUCAGUUCAGAUGAAAACGAGGUAUUGUCAGCUCCGUUUACUGAGAAAGAGGUGUUUGAUGCAAUAGCACACAUGAAACAAAACAAGGCACCAGAUUCGGAUGGGUUUUCGGCGGAAUUCUAUAAAAAGUGUUAGCAUAUUAUUAAGGGUGAUCUUUUGCCUAUGUUCCAUGAUUUGUUUAAUGGUCACUUGCAGUUAUUCCACCUUAACUUUGGAACAAUAAAGUUGUUUCCAAAGAAGGUGGAGGCUAUUCGCAUUGAGCAGUUCAGACCGAUUUAUCUGCUUAAUGUCAGUUUCAAAAUCUUUACAUAGAUUGGCACGAGUAGAUUGACGGAGAUAGCCCAUUCGGUAGUGCAACCAACUCACACAGCUUUCAUGCCUCGGAGACACAUCCUAGAAGGGGUCGCCGUCAUUCAUGAAACGUUACACGAAAUCCAUACAAAGAAACUUGAUGGGGUUAUCGUUAAAGUGAAUUUGGAGCACGCGCAUGAUAAGGUCAAAUGGACAUUUCUUCAAGAGGACUUACAUAUGAAGGGGUUCAACGUAUCUUGGAGGGAUCAGGUGGAUGCUUUCAUUCAGAAAGGUAGUGUCGGGAUUAAAGUUAAUAAUGACAUAGGUCAUUACUUUCAAACACAUGAGGGCUUGAGACAUGGAGAUUUGAUGUCUCCCGUGCUAUUCAACAUAGUGGCGGAUAUGUUGGCAGUCCUUAUUGGUCGUGCUAAAGAGAAUGACCAAGUAGGAGGACUUGUUCCACACCUUGUAGAGGGGGGAGUGUCCAUACUACAAUAGCGAAUGACACAAUCAUCUUCACAGAACAGGAUGUCGCAAAAGCUAGGAACAUGAAGCUUGUUCUAUGCCUAUUUAAACAAUUGUCUGGACUAAAAAUUAAUUUUAACAAAAGUGAGCUAUUAUGAUUUGGGAGAGAAAAGGAGGAACAAGACGCGUACAUGCAACUAUUGGAUGUGAAAUGGGAUCACUCCCGUUUAGUUACGUAGGGAUUCCCAUUCAUCAUAGACGAUUGAUGAAUAGGGAAUGGAAAUGUAUUGAAGAUAGAUUCGAGAAAAGACUAAGUUGCUAGAAGGGAAAACUUAUGUCUUAUGGAGGUCAGCUUGUGUUGAUAAACUCGGUGUUGACAAGCGUGCCGAUGUUCCUACUAGCUUUUUUGAAGUACUGGUAGGUGUACGGAAAAUACUAGACUUUUAUCAGUCUCGUUUCUUCUCACCGUGUGAUGAGGCUAAGAACAAAUACAGAUUGGCAAGGUGAGAUAUUAUUUGCAGACACAAAGACCAAGGGGGUCUCGACAUUGAGAAUUUAGAAGUGAAGAAUAAAUGCACGCGUAGAAAAUGGCCAUACAUGUGAUCUUCUAGACCGAAGGGAUGUGGGUACAAAUCUUGUGGGAUAAGUACCUACAGUCUAAGACAUUGGCUCAGGUUACUGCUAGACCUAAUGACUCACCUUUUUGGAAGGAGUGAAUGAGGAUGAAGGUAACCUUCUUGGAGCGGGUGAUGUUUUUAGUUGAGAAUGGUACAACGACCAUAUUCUGGGAGGACACAUGGCCUGUGAUACGCCUAUAGCUUUACAAUAUCCUAUCCUAUAUAAUAUUGCACAACGUAACGAAGAUUUGUUGGCACCAUAUUACAGUCGGUACCUGUGAAUAUCCAAUUCAGGCGAUCUCUAGUGGGAGAACGCUGGAAUGCUUGGUUACACUUGGUGAGAUAAUUGAUGGAUGUUGAACUCUCUGACGAGGCACAUAAUAUUCACUCGAAAUUAGUUAUGAAUGUUUUUCCACUGAAGUCGAUGUAUAUGGAUCUAAUUAACUCUACACCUCUUUCGAGAUCAUUGCAUAUUUGGAAAAUUAAAGUGACACUUCAAAUUAAAAUUUUCAUGUGGUUUGUACACAAGGGAGUUGUACUAACCAAAGACAACUUGGUAAAAAGAAGAUGGAUAGGCAAGUCUACAUGUUGCUAUUGUGAUCAAAAUAAAACAAUAACACACCUCUUUUUUAAUUGUCCACUUGCAAAAACUAUUAUGGUGCACUAUUCAUAUUGCCUUCAACACUAAUCCAGCAACGAGCAUUAAUACUCUAUUUGGGACGUGGCUCAGUGAAGUAGAUGUAACUAUAGCGAAUCAUAUCUGGAUUGGUAUAAGUGCUUUAUUUUAGGCUAUAUGGAACAUUACAAAUGAUAUGAUCUUUAAUGGCAAGAACUUCAAUAAUUUUUUGGAGGUUAUAUAGAGAGCCACGUCUUGGAUCCGUACGUGGUCGUUACUCACUCAUGCAGACUCUAGAGAACUUAUGGCUAUUGGGUGCAAGCGGGGGAAGAUGGUCGCAUGAGCUAUCUUCAGCCGAUUUGGAUGACAAGAUAAUAAUAGGCUAGGUGUAUAGGCAUCGUAGCCUACUUUUGGUUUCGUCGGCUAUGGCAAUUUUUAUUUAAUUUACCACUUGUUUUUAUGCUGAGUUUUUGAGCACUUUGUGGAUCUAAGACUUUAUUCUUGAACUAUUUUAAUAAUAUGGCUGCAUACAUCGAUUGAUGCACACGCUGGGGGCGGUGUUCCUCCUUUUCUAAAAAAAUAAUAAAAAUAAAAGUAAAAAUGGUAUCAUGUACAAAUAGGCCGUUAUAGCCCGCUAUAACUAAUUUAGAGGCUCACUGUUAUUUGCCAUAGCCCGCUAUUUAAAACAUUGGUGAAAACUGAGAUGUCCUCAAGAAAUGUGGAGAUGUCCUUGUGGCGAUCGAGUAAUGUAUUGAAUUCAUGCUUGAGACAACUCUUUCAAAAGUCCAAAAAUUUAAAACAUUGCUGAAAACUGAGAUGUCCCGAAGAAAUGUGGAGAUGUUCUUGUGGGGAUCAAGCAAUGUAUUGAAUUCAUGCUUGAGCCAACUCUUUCAAAAGUCUGAAAUGUGAGAGAGGACCGGACAUUAUACUCCAACACAAUGCUUCAGACUAGACGAUAGUGAGCUACAUCUUCCAAACCAAGCUUUUCUGGUCCUCCUUCCUAAAAAAGACUCUUGCCUUUCUCUACGUGAUUGUGGGCUACAAAAACCUCCGACGAUCUCCCAUGGUCUGCCCUUGAUCUCUCCACAUCAGAUAAAACGAAUACCAUCUUUAGAGAACAUACAAGGCUAGAGGUGCGGUGGUUCUACACUGUCCCGGUGGGACUGUUGGAUCGACUGAGCCAACCUUUCGCAACUCAAUGCCUCGUGAACUCGUGGCAUCGGAGGUGGAUCCGUCGAGGAAAUUAUCUAGUUCAUAGAGUUUAGGUAGAAGGUAUCUAGUCGACCACCGCUUCUCCUAGGACCGGACCCCUGAUCAUGGAAAUGGAAUCUGUGAUGUUCCCGCUCUACCAAAAUAAUAUAGGAGGCUACCUUUGAUUGAAGGAUUGAUCAUCCCUAGGCGUUACUCAAGUGUAAGAUUUCUUUUCAACAAAGAGAAUAUAUUAAUAUUAAGAAGAUACCAAUUACACCCAGCCUUUGCAACAUUAAAAUGUCCAACUAGACAUUAAGGAUGGACACAGCCAAAAAAGGAAAAAAACAAGAAAGCCUCGACAUAGUGACCACUCACUCGCAACGACAGCACACUAACCACCACCAAAGACGACACCUGAACCCCAAAAGAGGUCCUUCAAAGACGACACCUCCAAGAAGGGAACAUAGGACAAGCACCAUCGUCGCCCGAUCAAUGAUCCUUGAUUUUCACCCUAGAGAAAGUCUGAGUUCUAAAAACAACGCCUUCAACAAGAUCGUUGCCAGGUACAACCAAUGAAGGGCAUACCGUGGGUUUUCAUCCAUAGAAUCGAGACUCGAUACUCGAGGUGCACCAAGACGACUAAAGUCCUUCGGUGCUGCCGCCCCACUUGCCGAGGGCGCUAGUGCAACUUACUAAACACAAACCCAGUCUGCAUCACAUCCAAGGCACUCCGCCCCUUCUUCUCAUACUCCAGUCACAGCUGCCAUGACAUUCUCCACCUCUCUCAAUACCAUGAAAAUCUAGAAGUAGGCAUGUCCCAUGGUACCAUAAAAAGCUGAGCUUCGGGCCACAAUCACUUAAAGCUGCACGGGCAGAAGCGCGGAUGCGCACGGUCGAUUGCCAUCUGAUCCAGAAAACCACGAGCAUCUUGCGCCAAUUUGUAAAAUUCUAACAAAGAAUUUCGGAACUCAUCAUCGGCUAGAUCGAAGGGGAUCGAAAACAUGUAGAUCAUUAGUUUGGCGUGAGAAGAUCAAUAGGGUAGCCACCUUUAUUGAUCCAGAUCAGCAACCCCAUCCUGCUAAUCCAAGGGACCAUGCCGCUUUGAUAUCCCCAACCAGCAACCGGAACCCCAAGGCCGAGCCGGAGUGCUAGGAGAAGGCGUCAUGCGUCGCCCACCGUCUAUGUAGAAGGCCGCCAAGACCGCGAGCACAAUGCCGAUGCAACCACCACCACACGAUUGAUGAAGAGGACACACACCUUCUCGAAUCUGGAUGCAACACUACAAAUGCUAUAUUCGUCGCUGCCAUGUCAUUGGGAGCCACCCACGUAAGGUCGCUAAGGUCAACCGCUAGUCAUUUGGAUCCCAAGCACAUCACACACCGACAUUCCUCCCGAACCUGCAGCCCUACAAAUCGAAGGAUACCGCGAGAGAGCGCCCCACCACCAUCGUUGGCCACGCGGGAUUUGCCCGGCGGCAUCCUCCAGCGGCGGCGCGGCAAGAGGAGGAGGAACAUCGGCGGUGCGGGUAUGGAGGUACGGCCGAGUCGCAAUCGUUGCUGGUAUUCUCACCGACUGGCCAAUUGCAAUAGUUGGUCGUAUUCUCACCGACAUGCCAAGCGCAUAAUACCUCACAAAUACUACCACCCCUCAUGCUGCGAGCACGACGAAAUGAUUGAACACAUGCUCCUCCAAUGUGUGUUCGCCCGCGAGGUUUAGUUAGUAAUUCUUCUUGGAUAGGCCUACAUCGAUAAUCCCCUUCUACCGACGACUCCAUCUCAAAUUGGUGGACAUCUCUCUAGCGGGUUGUGCAUCACAAGCUUCAAAAAAGGGUGAACUCGGUCUUCCUAUGGACAUUUCGUUGCAUAUGGCUAGAGCGAACCCCUAUGGUAUUCAAGAACACCUCCCACCUUCCAGGGGCGGUAACAACGGUAAAAGGUGGGAGGCCAAGCCAAGAUCUAGAUUUUAGACACAUAAGAAAAUCAGCUACCUAGAUCUAGAUUUAAGAAUAUGCAUUGCUACUUACCAAGAGUGGACGACCAGUUGGAUAGGGGGCGACCCUGCUGGACGCGGCGUGAUCGGCGAGGCCAAGCCAGGUCCAUACGGAAGAUGAGCAUGACGCGGUUGUGACCGUGACUUUGCCGACCUAGGUGAGGCUGAUGUUUGAUGGUGCGUAUGUAGAAGGGGGGCUUAGAAGGAUGCCCUCGGCAUGGCGGCGAAGGCAAGGUGGCGGCGAUCGAUGGUUGUAGAUGGGAUUGAUCGGGCAUGGGCGAUAAGGUGAAGGGAGUCGACCGAAAGGGGGGAAGGCGUUCG
Molecule: long non-coding RNA, 44045 nt
Filed under: Hordeum vulgare
Lineage: Eukaryota; Viridiplantae; Streptophyta; Magnoliopsida; Poales; Poaceae
Description: long non-coding RNA (HVUL_LNC009131)
Source: RNAcentral